GGUAGGUGAAUGUAUGAUGAAGGUAUGGUGGAGGUAUGAUGAAGGUAUGGUGGAGGUAGAUGAAUUUAUAGUGGAGGUAGGUGAAGGUAUGGUGGAGGUAGAUGAAGGUAUGGUGGAGGUAGGUGAAGGUAUGGUGGAGGUAGAUGAAGGUAUGGUGAAGGUAGAUGAAGGUAUGGUGAAGGUAGGUGAAGGUAUGGUGAAGGUAGGUGAAGAUAUGGUGAAGGUAGGUGAAGGUAUGGUGGAGGUAGGUGAAGGUAUGGUGGAGGUAGAUGAAGGUAUGGUGGAGGUAGAUGAAGGUAUGGUGAAGGUAUGAUGAAGGUAUGGUGGAGGUAGAUGAAGGUAGGUGAAGGUAUGGUGGAGGUAGAUGAAGGUAGAUGAAGGUAUGGUGAAGGUAGGUGAAGGUAGGUGAAUGUAUGAUGAAGGUAUGGUGGAGGUAUGAUGAAGGUAUGGUGGAGGUAGAUGAAUUUAUAGUGGAGGUAGGUGAAGGUAGAUGAAGGUAUGGUGAGGUAGGUGAAGGUAUGGUGAAGGUAGGCUUGCUCAGCACUUUGUGAGUGUGUGUUAUUUUGUCACAGAUGAAGUAGAAAGUCUAAUGAUCUCUCCCUUUACCCACCCCCUUUCCCUGUCUCUCUUUCCCUGUCUCUCUGUCCCUGUCUCUCCCGCUCUCUGUCUUUCUUCCUGUCUCUCUUUCCCUGUCUUUCUCCCUGUCUCUCUUUCCCUGUCUCUCUUUCCCUGUCUUUCUCCCUGUAUCUCUUUCCCUGUCUUUCUCCCUCUCUCUCUUUCCCUGUCUUUCUCCCUGUCUCUCUUUCCUGUCUUUCUCCCUGUCUCUCUUUCCCUGUCUUUCUCCCUCUCUCUUCCCUGU
Long non-coding RNA from Oncorhynchus masou masou (cherry salmon), 859 nucleotides. RefSeq lists it as uncharacterized. The transcript is spliced from 3 exons. The record is from RefSeq and is a predicted model, not a curated record. Lineage: Eukaryota; Metazoa; Chordata; Actinopteri; Salmoniformes; Salmonidae.